GUGAAAUUAUACAGGAUUAUAGUUCGCCAGCUCCGGACAAUGAAGGCAAAUCAAGAUGAAUUGCCGCUCGGCCCUCCCAUCGGCUCGCAGCCGGGCGGCCAGGAGGGGCCGGCGGGGGCGGGGGGCGGCCGCAGGGACAUCGCCACCACCGCCACCACCACCGGCAGCGACACCGACACCGGCAGCGACACCGGCAGCGACUGCACGGGGCGAGUGACCACAUACACUUUUCUGCUGGUGCUGUUACACUCCUCUGACUUCCAAUAAAGAAAGUGCUUGAGAAAGCAUGGGAAGUCCAGUGACAUUGGGCUUCCCCAUUAACGAACCAUUCAGUGGCAGAACGUAUUCUUCAGUGAUUAAUGGUGAAAGAGAUCACAGAUGCUUCUUCAAUUAAUCUGGAAUGUUGAGCAUUUUUGACAGCACUUCUACAGCUGCUCCAACUAUAUUAAGGUAGUUUUUCUUUCCGAAACGUAAUUAAAAGUGUACAUCGUAAAUUACAGAUCUGCAGCAGUCCUACAGGCUCACUUGACAACCAAUUUUUCACUGUUUCUGUUGCCCUUGGCUGUUCUUUGUGGUGGUUAAAUACUAAACUGGUCAUUAGGAACUUGUAGCAGCAAGGUUCAUUUACAAGCCUGAUGAGGUAAUAUGUCUGGGUUCUCACCAUUCAUGUUCAUUGGAAUAGUAACUCUGUAGUUCAUGAGCAGAAAGCAUAACGAACCCUCAUCUUAACAUAACUUCAGGCUCAGUAGAGUUUCGUUUGCUCAGUAAAUUGAUGUAACUCUCUACUUUUGGUUGGAUUUGAAAGCUAUUUCACAAUGAAGUUAACUUCAAGUCCCCAGGGCAAUGCUUCACGUCUAUUGCUUAAAAAUUUGGCUAUAUAUUUUGACACAUUUAUAUCUCGUUCCUAAAGAUGGAUAACACUAUGAUAGCUCUUCUGAUUUAUAAGGUGAUUAUCUAUCCUCAUCUAUUUGUGGAGGCAGACAGACAGCAGCAGUGCAAAACCGCAGCACUACCUCUCCAGUAGUGGAUGAUCAGUACUCCAGGCUAUGGCAUGCAAGUGGCACUAGAAACAUGAGAUGUUGUAACUUCCUCCCAAACUGUAUAAUGUAGUUUUUAGAUAAGAUUUUCGUUGCUGCUUGAUGAAAUCCACCCUUCUACUUGCUGUUGAUAUCCAGACCUUUAAAUAUGAACUUGAGGUGACAGCUGUAAAUAUCCUAGUAAUAGGGAGUGAAGACCUGGCUGAGACUGCAUCCAGCUGUUGUUUCCAAAGUAAAACAGGUCUGCAUUUAGAACUAUGAUUAAUUUCCAUUU
Non-coding RNA from Anas platyrhynchos (mallard), 1311 nucleotides. The record is from RefSeq and is a predicted model, not a curated record. NCBI's taxonomy places the organism in Eukaryota, Metazoa, Chordata, Aves, Anseriformes, Anatidae.